Molecule: ribosomal RNA, 251 nt
Filed under: uncultured prokaryote
Description: partial 16S rRNA
Rfam family: Bacterial small subunit ribosomal RNA
Source: RNAcentral
ACGUAGGUGGCGAGCGUUGUCCGGAAUUACUGGGUGUAAAGGGAGCGCAGGCGGGGAGACAAGUCAGCUGUGAAAACUAUCGGCUUAACUGAUAGAGUGCAGUUGAAACUGUUUUUCUUGAGUGGAGCAGAGGCAGGCGGAAUUCCGAGUGUAGCGGUGAAAUGCGUAGAUAUUCGGAGGAACACCAGUGGCGAAGGCGGCCUGCUGGGCUUUAACUGACGCUGAGGCUCGAAAGUGUGGGGAGCAAACAG